UGGAUGCAUGUUUGAAGCUUAUUUUAGCUACGGCUUCAAGAUGGAACAAGAAGUCUACAGGCUUCACUUAAAUUGAGAACAAAGAGAAUAUGUACUUACCUAGCUCUCUCUUUUGGGUUUCACGUCAAGAGUUACUUGUUGGUACCUACCUAGCUUAAGUUUGGACCUAAGUGUUCUAAGUGUGUAACAUGUACUGUGAUGAGGAUGAUGUUGAACAUGAUUUGACUAGUUUUGUUAAUAUUUUUAAUU
RNAcentral lists this long non-coding RNA (249 nucleotides) under Populus trichocarpa (black cottonwood). RNAcentral's name for it is "long non-coding RNA (PTRI_LNC002853)". Lineage: Eukaryota; Viridiplantae; Streptophyta; Magnoliopsida; Malpighiales; Salicaceae. The record is from RNAcentral.